AGAGUUGAUCAGUGGCUCAGGACGAACGCUGGCGGUAUGCUUAACACAUGCAAGUCGAACGAGACGAGAUGGAAGGAUCCUUCGGGUGACGGAAAUCUUAGAAAGUGGCGAACGGGUGAGUAACGCGUGGGUAACCUGCCCUAUGGAAAGGAAUAGCCUCGGGAAACUGGGAGUAAUGCCUUAUAAUAUAUGUUUGUCGCAUGGCAGAUAUAUUAAACGCUCCGGUGCCAUAGGAUGGACCCGCGUCCCAUUAGCUAGUUGGUGAGAUAACAGCCCACCAAGGCGACGAUGGGUAACCGGUCUGAGAGGGCGAACGGUCACACUGGAACUGAGACACGGUCCAGACUCCUACGGGAGGCAGCAGGUGGGGAAUAUUGCGCAAAGUGGGGGCCAACCCUGACGCAGCAAUACCGCGUGAGUGAAGUAAGGUUUUCGGAUACGUAAAGCUCUGUUAGUUGGGGAAGAAAAAAGACGGUACCCAAGAAGAAAGUCCCGGCUAACUACGUGCCAGCCGCGGC
Molecule: ribosomal RNA, 518 nt
Filed under: uncultured bacterium
Lineage: Bacteria
Description: bacterial SSU rRNA
Rfam family: Bacterial small subunit ribosomal RNA
Source: RNAcentral